CCUGCUCCCGCCCCAGCAGCACACUGUGGUUUGUACGGCACUGUGGCCACGUCCAAACCACACUGUGGUGUUAGAGCGAGGGUAG
Dipodomys ordii (Ord's kangaroo rat) is the source of this 85-nucleotide non-coding RNA. The record is from Rfam. Lineage: Eukaryota; Metazoa; Chordata; Mammalia; Rodentia; Heteromyidae.